This 443-nucleotide ribosomal RNA is filed under the name uncultured bacterium. Its description in RNAcentral is "partial 16S ribosomal RNA". It matches the Rfam family "Bacterial small subunit ribosomal RNA", at positions 338 to 795 of the family's 1533-position model. The record is from RNAcentral.
CCUACGGGAGGCAGCAGUGGGGAAUAUUGGGCAAUGGGCGCAAGCCUGACGCAGCAACGCCGCGUGAAGGAAGAAGGCUUUCGGGUUGUAAACUUCUUUUAUUGAGGACGAAACAAAUGACGGUACUCAAUGAAUAACCCACUGCUAACUACGUGCCAGCAGCCGCGGUAAUACGGAGGUGGCAAGCGUUAUCCGGAUUUACGGGGUGUAAAGGGCGUGUAGGCGGGACUGCAAGUCAGAUGUGAAACCCAGGGGCUCAACCAAUGGCCUGCAUUUGAAACUGUUAUUCUAGAGUGGGGGAGAGGUAGGUGGAAUUCCGGGUGUAGGGGUAAAAUCCGUAGAGAUACAGAGGAAUACUAGUGGCGAAGGCGGCCUGCUGGACAUUAACUGACGCUGAGGCGCGAAAGCGUGGGGAGCAAACAGGAUUAGAUACCCCGGUAGUC